This 1012-nucleotide long non-coding RNA is filed under the name Capra hircus (goat). Its description in RNAcentral is "lncRNA (ENSCHIG00010015452.1)". Lineage: Eukaryota; Metazoa; Chordata; Mammalia; Artiodactyla; Bovidae. The record is from RNAcentral.
UUGGAACCAGUCUGUUGUUCCAUGUCCAGUUCUGUUGCUUCCUGACCUGCCUAUUAUCGAGGCACUAAUCUGAUAUUCCGAAGCUAGCUACUUAACUCCCUCCCACCAGCACCUCUGCACACUUAAAUUUUUAAGUAGAAUCAUUGUAUCCACUUCAAUACCUAUUUUAUACACAGUUGCUUCUUAGUGUCAUCUCCAAGAAUUUCACAUCUGAAAUUUAACUAUGAUUUUAAAAAUUUAUUGGUAAAAUUUCCAAAUACAGUGGCCAUCAACAAGGUGGGCGAGCUGUUCGUGAUUAUCAGAACAAUCUAGUUUUUCUUACUACUUGGAACCUAGAAAUUGUGCAUUUCAGAAAGGACAGCUUGACAUGUGUAAUUAAGAAAAACCUCGAAAGGUGACUGACUCCUGUCUGUGCCCAACACUGGGAACCAUGGCUCCUCUCCUCUGAUUUUUAUGAUCAAGCAAACAGAAAAUGUCCAAUAAAUUUUCAUUAUGAGGUGGUUUAGGAUUUCAUGGGUUCUGUUUAUGGAGGACUUUGUAAAUUUAAGUAUCACAUUUGGAGGGCUCUUUCUGUUUGGCAAGAACCUGAGGGACAAUGUCAUAGACUGAGAUUCUAGGGUGUUUUAAUACUGUCCUGAUUGUUUUAGCAGCUUCUUGUACACAAUCUUCUAAGCAACAAGAACAAAUCUGGCAUGCAAAACAUUAACUGAAAAGCAAGAAUGGCCUCCUUAUGCUGUGCGUAUCAUAACUCUGGUAAGUGGCUUUCAAUCUAUUCCCAUCUAAGGAUACCCACUGUUAACUAGUCCUAGCAGAGCAUAACAGAAUUAAGAACCUACAAAGUGCUGUCCUAGAUUGUGUAAUAUUCUUUCCAAAGAAUAUGCAAUUUCCCAAAUGGAAGAUCAGACAAUAACAAUGACCUUCUGUUAGUGUUGGUUCCUCAAUUGUGUUGUGGACUCCUUGCAACCCCACAGACUGUAGCCCACCAGGCUCCUCUGUCUAUGGAAUUCUCCAG